Molecule: ribosomal RNA, 468 nt
Filed under: uncultured bacterium
Lineage: Bacteria
Description: partial 16S ribosomal RNA
Rfam family: Bacterial small subunit ribosomal RNA
Source: RNAcentral
GACGAACGCUGGCGGCGUGCUUAACACAUGCAAGUCGAACGGAAAGGCCCUGCUUUUGUGGGGUGCUCGAGUGGCGAACGGGUGAGUAACACGUGAGUAACCUGCCCUUGACUUUGGGAUAACUUCAGGAAACUGGGGCUAAUACCGGAUAGGAGCUCCUGCUGCAUGGUGGGGGUUGGAAAGUUUCGGCGGUUGGGGAUGGACUCGCGGCUUAUCAGCUUGUUGGUGGGGUAGUGGCUUACCAAGGCUUUGACGGGUAGCCGGCCUGAGAGGGUGACCGGCCACAUUGGGACUGAGAUACGGCCCAGACUCCUAAGGGAGGCAGAAGUGGGGAAUAUUGCACAAUGGGCGGAAGCCUGAUGCAGCAACGCCGCGUGCGGGAUGACGGCCUUCGGGUUGUAAACCGCUUUCGCCUGUGACGAAGCGUGAGUGACGGUAAUGGGUAAAGAAGCACCGGCUAACUACGUG